GCUAGAAACCACACUUCAGAGCCAGUGCUUGCGUGGUAUUUGCAAGCUCUCCUUCCUAAAUGAGCUCUUGGAAUGGUUGUGAAAAAUCUGAAGAACAAGAUCUGAAGAGCUGCCCAAGUACCUGAAAUCAUGGAGUAUGUAAGAGCUCCUGCCCACGUCCAGGCRCCUGGUGCUGUCCCGAGUUGCAGCCUGUCGUGACUGAGGCCUCAAAGACUUGGGAACCUGUUCAGCUACAGGCGGCUUCAUUCAUCUCGGAGAACUCGCAGUUCCCUCUCAAAAGAUAAUUUAGGAUCAUGUGCACGUGAAGCGGAACAAAAGCCUGCAUUACUCUGCGUGGGAUCUUAAACUCUGAGCUCUCCAAACCAGGUAUUUUUAAAAUGGAUGUGUUUGUGCAGCACCCCC
RNAcentral lists this long non-coding RNA (402 nucleotides) under Dromaius novaehollandiae (emu). RNAcentral describes it as "lncRNA (ENSDNVG00000012920.1)". Lineage: Eukaryota; Metazoa; Chordata; Aves; Casuariiformes; Dromaiidae. The record is from RNAcentral.